GACGAACGCUGGCGGCGUGCCUAAUACAUGCAAGUAGAACGCACAGUUUAUACCGUAGCUUGCUACACCAUAGACUGUGAGUUGCGAACGGGUGAGUAACGCGUAGGUAACCUGCCUGGUAGCGGGGGAUAACUAUUGGAAACGAUAGCUAAUACCGCAUAAUAUUAAUUAUUGCAUGAUAAUUAAUUGAAAGGUGCAAUUGCACCACUACCAGAUGGACCUGCGUUGUAUUAGCUAGUAGGUGAGGUAACGGCUCACCUAGGCGACGAUACAUAGCCGACCUGAGAGGGUGAUCGGCCACACUGGGACUGAGACACGGCCCAGACUCCUACGGGGGGCAGCAGGAGGGAAUCUUCGGCAAUGGGCGGAAGUCUGACCGAGCAACGCCGCGUGAGUGAAGGAGGGUCUCGGAUCGGAAAGCUCUGUUGUAAGGGAAGAACGGGUAUGAGAGUGGAAAGUUCACACUGUGACGGUAUCUUACCAGAAAGGGACGGCUAACUACGUG
Molecule: ribosomal RNA, 505 nt
Filed under: uncultured bacterium
Lineage: Bacteria
Description: partial 16S ribosomal RNA
Rfam family: Bacterial small subunit ribosomal RNA
Source: RNAcentral